AGUGGGAUUUCUGGAUUCUAUGGUAAUCCAAUGUUUGAUUUUUUGAGAAAUUGACAAAAUGUUUUCCAUGGUGGCUCCACUAUUUUCACCAUUUUACAUUUCCAUAAGCAAU
Molecule: microRNA precursor, 112 nt
Filed under: Marmota monax (woodchuck)
Lineage: Eukaryota; Metazoa; Chordata; Mammalia; Rodentia; Sciuridae
Source: RNAcentral